RNAcentral lists this ribosomal RNA (497 nucleotides) under uncultured bacterium. RNAcentral's name for it is "partial 16S ribosomal RNA". It matches the Rfam family "Bacterial small subunit ribosomal RNA", at positions 28 to 507 of the family's 1533-position model. The record is from RNAcentral.
GAUGAACGCUGGCGGCGUGCCUAAUACAUGCAAGUCGAGCGAACAGACGAGGAGCUUGCUCCUCUGACGUUAGCGGCGGACGGGUGAGUAACACGUGGAUAACCUACCUAUAAGACCGGGAUAACUUCGGGAAACCGGAGCUAAUACCGGAUAAUAUAUUGAACCGCAUGGUUCAAUAGUGAAAGACGGUUUUGCUGUCACUUAUAGAUGGAUCCGCGCCGCAUUAGCUAGUUGGUAAGGUAACGGCUUACCAAGGCAACGAUGCGUAGCCGACCUGAGAGGGUGGUCGGCCACACUGGAACUGAGACACGGUCCAGACUCCUACGGGAGGCAGCAGUAGGGAAUCUUCCGCAAUGGGCGAAAGCCUGACGGAGCAACGCCGCGUGAGUGAUGAAGGUCUUCGGAUCGUAAAACUCUGUUAUUAGGGAAGAACAAAUGUGUAAGUAACUAUGCACGUCUUGACGGUACCUAAUCAGAAAGCCACGGCUAACUACGUG